Molecule: ribosomal RNA, 355 nt
Filed under: uncultured bacterium
Lineage: Bacteria
Description: bacterial SSU rRNA
Rfam family: Bacterial small subunit ribosomal RNA
Source: RNAcentral
GGGCCCGCACAAGCGGUGGAGCAUGUGGUUUAAUUCGACGCAACGCGAAGAACCUUACCUGGUCUUGACAUCCUGCGAACUUUCUAGAGAUAGAUUGGUGCCUUCGGGAACCGAGUGACAGGUGCUGCAUGGCUGUCGUCAGCUCGUGUCGUGAGAUGUUGGGUUAAGUCCCGUAACGAGCGCAACCCUUAUCCUUAAUUGCCAGCGGUUAGGCCGGGAACUCUAAGGAGACUGCCGAUGACAAAUCGGAGGAAGGUGGGGACGACGUCAAGUCAUCAUGGCCCUUACGUGUAGGGCUACACACGUGCUACAAUGGCCGGUACAAACGGUUGCGACCCCGCGAGGGGUGACCUGA